UGCCAGCAGCCGCGGUAAUACGGAGGGUGCAAGCGUUGUCCGGAUUUAUUGGGUUUAAAGGGUGCGUAGGCGGACUUUUAAGUCAGUGGUGAAAUCCUGCAGCUUAACUGUAGAACUGCCAUUGAUACUGGAAGUCUUGAGUACACUAGAAGUAGGCAGAAUUUAUGGAGUAGCGGUGAAAUGCAUAGAUACCAUAAGGAAUACCGAUAGCGAAGGCAGCUUACUAGCGCUGUACUGACGCUUCAGCACGAAAGCGUGGGUAGCAAACAGGAUUAGAUA
RNAcentral lists this ribosomal RNA (279 nucleotides) under uncultured bacterium. Its description in RNAcentral is "partial 16S ribosomal RNA". It matches the Rfam family "Bacterial small subunit ribosomal RNA", at positions 506 to 784 of the family's 1533-position model. The record is from RNAcentral.